This 261-nucleotide ribosomal RNA is filed under the name uncultured bacterium. RNAcentral's name for it is "partial 16S ribosomal RNA". It matches the Rfam family "Bacterial small subunit ribosomal RNA", at positions 92 to 353 of the family's 1533-position model. The record is from RNAcentral.
CGACCGGCGCACGGGUGAGUAACACGUAUCCAACCUGCCGAUGACUCGGGGAUAGCCUUUCGAAAGAAAGAUUAAUACCCGAUGGCAUAGUUCUUCCGCAUGGUAGAACUAUUAAAGAAUUUCGGUCAUCGAUGGGGAUGCGUUCCAUUAGGUUGUUGGCGGGUAACGGCCCACCAAGCCUUCGAUGGAUAGGGGUUCUGAGAGGAAGGUCCCCCACAUUGGAACUGAGACACGGUCCAAACUCCUACGGGAGGCAGCAUG